Molecule: long non-coding RNA, 5877 nt
Organism: Pungitius pungitius (ninespine stickleback)
Lineage: Eukaryota; Metazoa; Chordata; Actinopteri; Perciformes; Gasterosteidae
Exons: 4
Source: RefSeq, a predicted model, not a curated record
CUGCGUUCUGUGAUUGGCUGGUAGUUACAGCAGUCUCAAUACCUAAGACGGCGAGAACGGACUUGCGUUGGAUACAGUAACAAAAAAUUAACUAUUAUAUUAAAAUAUUUGAAUCCACACACACACCUACCGUUUGUCUUGUUACUCAAACAUCAAGAGGCCGAUAAUCAGUGUAGUGGUCCUCGUACAGCAAGCUGCUGACCACACAGCAAAGAUUUUACAGAGAACUAUACAAUAAUUCAUAUGUGGAAUUGUUUUAUUCAUUAUUAUAAUAAUUCAGAGCUUCAGAGUUUCUUUGAAGCUGAAGUUCUGCUGCCGAUUUAGAGUCUCGAUGACGGUCUCCUCGUGUCCUUUAAUUAAAACAUCGUUAGUUUUAAUGCACAAUGAUGGACAAUAAACAAGCUGCACUCUGCGGUUAUAGACAAUACGUUAAAGUAUUAACCGGUGAACAACAUCAGUCUCUGACACCACAUUAAAACUUUAUAGUACAGUUAUAUCUCAUGUAUAACCGCUACGGAGACGUGAAAACCAGCGGAGCAUUUCACAGAAGACUCGCCGAAAACAGGCUGCUCUGUGCGGGCUGAGAUGAGCUGACCGCCCGGUGCUGGAGGGUCUGACGUCCGUUAACUACACCUCACAUCUCCAUCCACGGAGCACAUUGUAACAACAAAAGUCGCUUAAACAACUAACUUCAGUCAUAAAAUUACAUUACUUAAAUAAAGUAGUAUUUAUAAACUUAAAGUUGUUUAUUUCCCCCUGUCUUUGUUGCCUGUUGCUGAGGUGAAAUGCAUUCUGGGAUAUUUGGCUCUCACAAGAACAGACGAGCCUGCUCCGAUGCAUGACGGGUAAAAUGGGCGGGGCGAGUCACAUCCAGGUAUUAUGACCGUUCUCGUCCAGAUGCGGACUUUAGAAUUGGAACAGUAAUUGGGCUGCGACUGAUGACGUUUCACGAGUCCACGAGAACAAAAGUCCACACAAGAACGCAUAUUGAGAAAGGGCCAGUGUCUGAUGUUGACUAGAUGUGUUAAAUAACUAAAUAUUAAUAUUACAAAUUAAGCCACACACACACUUCCCCUCUCUCUCUCAUGAUCAUUAGUGAUACAGAAUAAUGAGUGAUAAACAUAAAUGAACAUAAGAAUUAAGAAGGAAUGCUGUUUUAACCGCAGAAAUGCGUCAGUACAGUACACUGUUUUUCAAGUUCAUGUACGAUUGGUCAUAUCACCUGAUAAUCAAGCUCCCUGCGAAGGGUCAAUUGCAUGCUUAAAAAAGAGCAUAACGGUUAAAGCCCAGCCCAUUUCAAGACAACCCGACAACUUACGGGUUAAAUCCUUCAUACUUCCGGGUUAAGCCCCACCCACUUUCGGAUUAGGCCCCGCCCAAUCCGAGUACAGAUACGGAUACAGAUAAUUCAUAUGGUUCAACAGAUACAGAUAAUGCUGUACUCGCUCAUCUCUAUCAAUUAGUUAAUCCAAGAUGGUGUUAAUAUUUGAAGGGGCCUCGGGCCACUUUCUACUUAAAAAGUGGGUUAGGAUUAAGGGUUCCUUAAGUGUUUACAGAUUAUUAGACUGGGAACUUUGAUCCCCUAACUUGUGAGGAUGCUUGAAGAUGAGAAUUUCUGUUUUUUCCUGGCAUUCCACAACAUUGUGCCAAAUGUGGACGUACUGUUCAACCAGCUGCAGCUGCAGAAGAGAGACAUCAACCCUGUCUUCAUUAAAGGACUCGUCCAGAAGUUCACACACAACAUUUAAAUCAUCAGGUAAAUAACUAUAUUUGCUGAUAAACCUGUUGUUAGAAAGAGUUGCUCAGUCUGUUAAAUCCCAAAUGAGCCUCACAGUUAUAACAUUGCAAUGAUAUUUGUAGUAUAUUAGUAUUUUAAAAGAAAUAAGCUUAGAUUUCUUUAAAAAUUCAAAAAGUUCUUAAACACAAUUUGUAUGAUUUAGUUAUUUCCCAUGAGCUAAUGUUCUUUUCCAGAUUUUACAUAGGUUGUAUUUUUGAUUUUUUUAAACCACUAGUCAUAUACUUGACUUAGACAUAAGCAUGUGUCCAAUAUCAAUCACGUUUAUCAAACUAGUUUAAUUGCAUGUCUUUGUAUGUGAUACCAGCCAGGGAGCGGUUUGCAUUCACCCAGCACCGCAUCAGCGCAGGAGAGUGCAUGGGGAGUUGUUUCCACAACACAGUGUGAAGUUCCUUAAUUCAGCACUUGGAACAACGGUGGAGGCCUAUCCCAUCUUGAACCAGGCCAAGCUCAAAACAGAACUGUCCUUCAUCUAUGAGAACAGUUAGUUCAAGGCUUGCUGUGGUGCAGUUUCUAUGUACCAUGAAGAACAACCUUCAAAGCACCUUCAGAGAGACUCACUCUCCUGGGGGUCCUCAUCACCACACCCAUGACAACAUCUGAAUCCAAGAGAUGUUUCUCUACUUUGAAGAGGAUCAAAACCAAGGGAUUUUAAUUCAUGGCUUACUGAGUGGAUGGCCACAGUUUGAUGUAAUCAUCCAAAUAGUGAUAUUAUUAGACAAGUUAAUUUUUUGUGUGAAGAGGCUCAGCCUGUAAGAUAAUACAUUAUUUGAAUAAUAUAUAAUCUUUUCAAUGUGAUUCACAAUGCCUGUGAGCAAAUGUCCCUCCUGAGCUACUAUAGGUUCAGGUCAGCCUUGGUACCUCCUACUUCCUGGUUCACCAAUUAGACAGGCUGUAAAAGCUUCACAUAAUGAAGCUGUGUCAGCAUGCUUGUCCCUUUUGCUGUUGCACUCUGGCUUGAGAAUUCUGAGAGCAGCUCGUCAGGGCCCAGGUGCAGGAGGCUCAAAGUCCAGGCUGCGAUUGAGCGCUUGAGGCUCAACAGCGUGGCUACCCAGGUGGUGGUGAAGUAGACGGCCCCAAAAAUAGAAACGGCAAUGCAAAGUAGAUUAAAAAAAAAGAAGAACGCCUGACUGCGAUACACGGACCAAGAUUUUUGCUAUCACCUUUUUUAAAUUUCAAUUCUAUUACUGAACUUCAGGAUUUGGGGAAUAUUAAGAUGCCAACCAGGUGUAAAAUGUUUGACCUUUUGUGGAGUCACCCUGUGAGGUGAGGGGGGAAAGUAACCAUUCAUUUUGUUUAAUAUUGUAAUUUUUUUUUUUUUCUUCUUUUUACUCAUUUCAGUUUGUUCCAUAUGCUUUGGGCAAGAAACCUAGUGGUGGAGUACAAAAACGUCAGAGACUUGGGUUAUUAACACUACCACAGGGACCCAGCUCGUAUCGCCAAAGGAAAGCUUUUAAUGUUUUGAAUGGCUUGGUAGUCCAAAAUGAUGGUUCCUUAUGUUCUGUAGUUUGAAUUGUAUGUGCGUACCCUGUAGAAAUGCACUGUAAAUACACAUGUCUGUGGACAGUAAUUAAAACUGCUUUAAAGAACUGUCAUCUUGACUGAAAGUAAUUUUUGUUGCACAAUGACAAAUGGGAGUGUUCUAAAGAUUCAUUUUAAUGGAUAUUCAAAAUUGUACAAUGUAAUGUUGUUGUUGGAAUAUUGACUCUGAAAUUCAAACACUUCAAUGUUACCCCCACCCUCUAUGUUAGGGCCUUGGUGUUAAAAUGUAUUCCUUUUUUACAAUUCUACUGUGUACCUGGAUUGUAAUUUUUACUAAUAGAUUAAUGAAGUCAAUGUAUUCUGGAAUCUUGUAGGAACCACCUGCGAUUGCUGAUUAUGGGUGGUCGACCUCAAAUGAUGGAACCGUCCAGGUUAAAGGAAGCUUAUGGAUCUUGGGUAGCAGAUGGGCGAGGCUUGGGCUCUUUAUCGAGGUAUUUAUGUAAUGCUUGUCGUGCAGGCUGUGUAUGGCUGUUAAAAUGUCUUUACACCUCAACUGUUUGCUUCCAGUAUGUCCUUGUCUGUCUAACUUUUUGGGCUCCCUUUAUCUGCUGUUUAACUAUUUGCUGUUCAAUGUUUUAAGAAUGUGUGUAUUGCUGAUUAAUGUUGGUCUGUGUAAGGAGCUCUCAGUGUUGCCAAGAUUUUUCUUGCUGCGUUCCUUAUUUAUGUUGUGACUCGAAACAGGGUGGUCAAGAGAACAUGACGGGCUCCCUGAAGUCAAGCUAAUUCUGCCUCCUGUGAGAAGUGUAGAAAUGACCUCUGCCCUCCAGCUGACUUGGUUUUGGUGAGGUUAGUAUCUUUUCCUCAGUACUGUUUUGUAAUACUUGUUGAGCCGGCUGUUUGAUGGCUCUAAUAACAUGUGCCUCUAACUGACUCCCCAGUACUGCCUUUGUUAUGCUUUCAGGCAAAGUACUGUUGUGUUCUCUGGAUGGUCCUACAUCAACCUAAACGGCUCAUGCUUCAGGGCCUCCAAGAAGUGGUCCAGCAGCUUCAGCCUCCUGUGGACUGAGCCAUUUGAGCACAAGGUAAGACUUUUUUUUUUCUUCCCCCCAGUCUUUUUGUCAUUCAAGUUGUGGCACAACUUUCUGAUUCUAUUGUAUGGCCCAAAGAACUAUUUUGGCUCUUUGCACUGUAACAUGAAAUAGUAAAUGGCAAAAAAUUGGUACACAAGUCAUUUCUGCUGAAUUUGUUGCCCAUACUGAACGCAAAUUAGUAAAGAACUUUCUGCUGCGCAAAUUUAUGAAGCUAAUCAUUUCAAGAAACUUUUACUUGCAACGAUGAGGGAGGAGAAACUUCCCGAAGAUACUCCGCUGCAGGUAUGUGCAUUUUACUGCCGCAGACGUGAUUUCCGUUGAGGCGGACGCUAGAAGUGUGAAGAAAGCGCUGCUCAGUCCAGAAGGUAAGUUUCAGCUGCCCUUGCACGAUAAAAUGUUAGUUGAUUUAGCAAACUUACUCUGCAAUUUGCCAGUCUUUAACUGUUUGCGGUUAACUUGUUUUUAAAGUCUAGCUUGAAUGUUAACAGCUAGACUGUCGCAUGUGGAACCCUCUAAAAUUACAUUAAAUAUAAAUUGACUUUCAGCAGACUGCAUGCUUAAUAGGUUCAAUGAUGAUUUGUCAAUCUUCCAGGGUACCGCUUUAAUUCGUUAUAAAUGGUUUUUAUUUUUGUCUAUGGUACGGUAAUGCAUGAUUUUGAAAGAAGCAACCUCAUCAGGAAAAACUUUACUCUUUAUCACUUGGUUAGGCCUGACUCAAGUUAGCCAGGACCAGUCCUUGGUUAAGCUGUUGAAGGCCAACUGCCUGGCGACUUCUUAGGACACACCAAGCCCAUCUUACACCUUCCACAAUAAACCAAUGUUUUAAUGCACAUCACUAGUUCAGCUUCUUUCCAGGAGUUUUGUUUUCUCGCCUAGCAGGUCUCCAUAGAUCAUAGUUCUGUCUGUUCCUGACACCAGCUGCUGCCACCAUUAUUUUAAAUAAUAUUCAUAUUACUGUCAUCAUAUGCCAACAUCACCCUUUCCUAAAGUCUUUGCUCUCCCUCUCCACAGAAGCUUCUGUGGAUGGUGGUUCUGAUGGUGAUUGUCGUCACUGGAGUGGACCUGCCGUAGACUUGGCCUGCUGCUUGCAAUUAUUUGUAUCAUUUCUGUUACAGGAUUUGAAUGUAUUGUACAUCCUUUACAAUGUUAAUUCUAUACCCAUGCCAUUCAUUGCAGUAUUUCUAUCCUGGGAGAGGGAUCCUUCCAGAUGGUCUCACUAAGGUCUUUCCGCCCUAUUGAAGGAUUCAUUUGUGGAAGUUUUUUCUGUGUGAAUGCAAGCCAGGAUGCAAGGUGAUGACAUCUUGUCAAUGUUUCACAAAUUUUUCUGAAUGUUUAGUAAUGUCUUAUAACUUGCAGGAGAAGCCUUGUGAGAAUUUCCAUUGCACUGCAACCGAUGGCGAAUAGCUCACGGUAAGACCUGUUUCUUUUAGUUUAGUACAUGUCUUAAUUUAAUGUCCAAGAAUAAAAGCCUUUGACUGCAAGAAGUCGCAAACUUGUCAAUGUUUCAAG